RNAcentral lists this ribosomal RNA (324 nucleotides) under uncultured Corythion. RNAcentral describes it as "SSU rRNA". The stretch from base 108 to 324 matches the Rfam family "Eukaryotic small subunit ribosomal RNA", at positions 737 to 955 of the family's 1831-position model. The record is from RNAcentral. Lineage: Eukaryota; Cercozoa; Imbricatea; Euglyphida; Trinematidae.
GAUUUCUGGCGAACUGUAGCGGCCCGUGCUCGUAUCGGGCGUGUGUGCCGUGACAUGUUUGUCAUCCUUCCAGAGAGCUGCGUCUACCAUUCAUUUGGCCGGACGUACGCGAUCUGGAUCAAUUACUUUGAAAAAAUUAGAGUGUUUAAAGCAGGCUUAUGCUAUGAAUACAUUAGCAUGGAAUAAUAAUUUAGGACUUUGGUUCUAUUUUGUUGGUUUCUAGGACUGAAGUAAUGAUUGAUAGGGAUAGUUGGGGGUGCUAGUAUUCCGCGGCCAGAGGUGAAAUUCUUGGAUUCGCGGAAGACUAACUACUGCGAAAGCAUU